AUUGCUCUGAAGAAACAACGAACAAAGAAA
RNAcentral lists this non-coding RNA (30 nucleotides) under Cricetulus griseus (Chinese hamster). Lineage: Eukaryota; Metazoa; Chordata; Mammalia; Rodentia; Cricetidae. The record is from RNAcentral.